This 481-nucleotide ribosomal RNA is filed under the name uncultured bacterium. RNAcentral describes it as "bacterial SSU rRNA". It matches the Rfam family "Bacterial small subunit ribosomal RNA", at positions 33 to 507 of the family's 1533-position model. The record is from RNAcentral.
GACGACGCUGGCGGCGUGCCUAACACAUGCAAGUCGAGCGGAGUCGAUCGACGGAAGCCUUCGGGCGGAAGAUGGUUGACUUAGCGGCGGAUGGGUGAGUAACGCGUGGGCAACCUGCCUCGAAGACCGGGAUAACAGCCCGAAAGGGCUGCUAAUACCGGAUGUGGUCAAGGAUCCGCAUGGAUUUUGAUUAAAGGGGAAACCCGUUUCGAGAUGGGCCCGCGUCCUAUCAGCUAGUUGGUGAGGUAAAAGCUCACCAAGGCGACGACGGGUAGCCGGCCUGAGAGGGUGACCGGCCACACUGGAACUGAGACACGGUCCAGACUCCUACGGGGGGCAGCAGUGGGGAAUCUUCCACAAUGGGCGAAAGCCCGAUGGAGCGACGCCGCGUGAGCGAAGAAGGCCUUCGGGUUGUAAAGCUCUGUCUGGAGGGACGAAGGAAGUGACGGUACCUCCGGAGGAAGCCACGGCUAACUACGUG